GACGAACGCUGGCGGCGUGCGUAACACAUGCAAGUCGAACGAGAGAGUGAGAGAAGCUUGCUUUUCUUAUGAUCGAGUGGCAAACGGGUGAGUAACGCGUAAACAACCUGCCCCGCAGAUGGGGACAACAGCUGGAAACGGCUGCUAAUACCGAAUACGCUCCUCUUAGCGCAUGGUAAGAGGAAGAAAGGGUGGCCUCUGGAACAAGCUACCGCUGUGGGAGGGGUUUGCGUCUGAUUAGCUGGUUGGAGGGGUAACGGCCCACCAAGGCGACGAUCAGUAGCCGGUCUGAGAGGAUGAACGGCCACAUUGGAACUGAGACACGGUCCAGACUCCUACGGGAGGCAGCAGUGGGGAAUCUUCCGCAAUGGGCGAAAGCCUGACGGAGCAACGCCGCGUGAGUGAAGACGGCCUUCGGGUUGUAAAGCUCUGUUAUAGGGGACGAACGGCCGGGUAGCGAAGA
RNAcentral lists this ribosomal RNA (463 nucleotides) under Megasphaera geminata. RNAcentral's name for it is "bacterial SSU rRNA". It matches the Rfam family "Bacterial small subunit ribosomal RNA", at positions 28 to 463 of the family's 1533-position model. The record is from RNAcentral. Lineage: Bacteria; Bacillati; Bacillota; Negativicutes; Veillonellales; Veillonellaceae.